GACUGAUUACUCACCUCUCAGACUCGCUCAAAGUUGUUGACUCCUCUGUUGAAUAUCAUUUGGCAUUUCCUCCUCUGUUCUCCCUCUCAGAUUCAAAAUCAUUCAUUCAAAAAGAGCUGGUGAAGUUAAAAACCAAGAAUGUUAAAGUUUUUGUGGUGUUACAGUGUUCUUUAGACUUUGGCUUAGUUCUUUUUGAGAUGGCGAAUGAAAUGGGAAUGAUGGGGGAAAAUUAUGUAUGGAUUAUUUCAAACAAUAUGGCAAGUCUUCUGGACUCUGUUGAACCCUCUGUUUUACUGAACAUGCAAGGUGUAAUUGGGUUUAAGGCAAAUGUUAAUGAAAAAACUGAGUGUUUUAGAGAGUUCAAUGCUAAGUUCAGGAAAAAGUACAGAUCACAAUAUCCUGAAGAAGAAGGAUAUCCAAGUCCUAGCUCAUAUGCACUCAAGGCUUAUGAUGCAACUUGGGCAACUGCUAAGGCCAUGCAAAAGUUAUCCGGAAGCAAUUCAAGUGAACUAGUGAAAAGCAUUUUGUUGAGUGAUUUUGAAGGUUUAAGUGGAAAAGUUAGCUUCAAGAAUGGCAUGUUAUAUCAAAAACCAACCUUUAGGAUCAUAAAUGUGAUUGGCAAAAGCUACAGAGAAGUGUCAUUUUGGUCACCAAAGUUUGGUUUUUCUGAGGUUCUUGGUGAACACAAUGGGGUGAAGUUGAAAAUUGGCAACGGUUUAGGAGGGGCUCUGGGGUCAAUUGUGUGGCCUGGUGGUACGCAAACUGUCCCAAAAGGGUGGACAAUAGGUGGCCUAGAAAAACCACUUAGGAUUGGGGUACCUGCAAGGGGUGCAUUUACUCAGUUUGUGAAAGUUAAAUUUAACCAAGAGACGAAUGAGACUCUGAUUGGUGGAUUUUCAGUUCAUGUUUUUCAAGCAGUAGUGAGGGAACUUCCCUAUUAUCUGCCCUACAAUCUUGUUCCCUUCUAUGGUACUUAUGAUGAAAUGGUGGUAGGAGUUUCUAACAAGGUAAGCAUGACUCUUUAACUUAGCAUUUCCUAAUGAACUCUGGUCUAAUUUUUCAGAUUUUGGAAGAAGGUUCAAAUCUAUGUUUUAUUAUACAAAAUAUUUUAAUUUUACUCUGUUUUACUUUGGUGUCAUUAACAAAUUGUAAUUGUGGUUGACUUUAAGGAUCUCCAACGUGAACUGGGUGGAUUCCACGUGUCAAAAUAUUUCAAGAAAAUUGUCGAUUAUUUAUUCUCACUCCUGGAUUUCACAAGAGCUUUUGGGCUGGUGGUAGACAUUUUGAGUUUUCCAGAGGAGGAGCACUUGGUUACCUUCCGUAGUACAGUGACUACGCAGAUAGAAUAUCUGCUCCUUAGGAAGGGUGAUAAAGGUGUUUGUAAGGAUUGUAAGGUUAUCCUGAGUGAGGAUCUUAUGACCCAACAUAAACUCAAGAUGAUGGAUUUGGAGAUCAAGAGGGAGAGGAAGAAGAGGGUCAUGGAUGAUCAGUUAAGAAUCAAAUGGGGUAGCUUGACUAUGGCCAGUGCCCUAGAGGUGGUAGAGAAGUUGAUGACUACGAGGGCUUUGGGGAAUAGUGGGGAUGCAACCAGUAUGUGAAUAGGAUCGCUAGUUGCAUUAGGGAAGCGGCUAGAGAUGCGCGGGGGUCUCAAGAGGCCGAUUUGGUGGGUAUCGAGAGGACUAGUGGUGGAAUGGAGAAAUCCAAGAGAAUGUAGAUGUAAAGAAGGCGGCGUACGCAUAAUGGGUGGAAAGUAAAGACAAGGAGGAAAAGUCGACGAAUAGGGAAAGAUAUAAAAUGGCGAGGAAGGAGGCAAAGUUAAUUGUCACAAGGGGAAAACGACAACUUUAGAACGCAUGUAUGUUGGAUUAGAGGACAAGAGUAGGGUUAAGAGGUUGUACAGGUUAUCCAAGGCGAGAGAGAGGAGGGUCCAUGACCUAGACCAAGUAAAGUGCAUCGAGGUUGAGGAAAACAAAGUACUGGUAGAGGAGGCACUCAUUAGACGGAUAUGACAGUCAUACUUCUAUAAACUCUUGAACGAAGAAGAGGAGAGAGACAUUGUGUUGUAACAGUUGGAGCACCUAAAGAAGUGUCACGAUUAAGGGUAUUGUUAGUGUAUAAAGGUUGAAGAGGUUAAGAGUGUUAUUCUUAGGAUGUGUAGGGAUAGAACGACCAUGCUAGAUGAGAUUCCGAUGGAAUUUUGGAAGAGCUCAGACUGGGUAGGCAUGGAGUGGUUAACUAAGUUGUUAAAUGUUGUUUUCAAGAUGGCAAAGAUGCCUGAAGAAUGAAGAUAGAGUACAAUGAUUCUGUUGUACAAGAACAAGGGUGACGUUCAAAGUUGUAACAACCAUAUGAUAUCAAGUUGUGGUAAAGAAAGGGUUAGGAAGGGUGUGGCAAUUUUCGAGAACCACAUCGAAUUAAUAUCGGGGAGCUCAACUAUAAAAGUCAUUCAUCUCGUAAGGAGAUUGGUGGAACAACAUAGAGUAAGGAAUGACUUAUAUAUUGUGUUCAUCGACUUAGAAAAAGCUUACGACAAAGACCUAAGGAAGGUUCAAUGGAGUUGCUUAGACUGUGGGAGGUGACCUAGAACACUUCCCAAUUUUGAUGGGGUUAUACUGGGGAUCAACCCUUAGCCCAUCUUUGUUUGUCUUGAUAAUUGAUAUAUUAACACGAAAAAUUCAAGGUGAGAUGCCAUGUUGUAGUUACUUGUGGAUUAGAUAGUUCUAAGUUGGAGCAUUGGAGAAUCUAAAGGAUUCAGGUUGAGCAGAACCACAACAGAGUACUUAGGGUGCAAAUUUAGUGAUAUAACGUAUGAGGCUGAUGUGAAAGUAAGACUUUAUACAUAGGUUGUCCAAAAGAGAGGAAGUUUCAAGUAUCCUAGGUUUAUUAUCCAAGGAAAUGAAGAUACUGGCGAAUUUGUCACACACCGUAGUAGUGUAAGGUGGAUAAAUUGGAGGCUUGUAUCUAAAGUCUUUGUUGAUAAGAAGGUGUCAUCAAAAUUUAAAGGCAACCUCUACAGAGCAGUAGUUAGAUCAACUAUGUCGUAUGGGCGAAGUUGUUGGCCAAUCAAGAACUCCAACAUUCGGAAGAUGAAAGUUGUAGAAAUUAGGAUGUUGCGAUGGAUGUGUAGAUAUACCAGGAGAGAUAAGAUUAGAAAUGAGGAUAUUCAAAACAAGGUAAGAGUGACUUCGAUAGAGGACAAGAUAUGGGAAACAAUGCUGAAAUAGUUUGGGUAUGUGAAAAAGAGAUGCAUGGAUGCCCCAGUGCAAAGGUGCAAGAAGUUGGCUACAUAUGGUUCUAUGAGAGGUAGAGGUAAACCUAAGAAGUAUUGGGGAGAGGUGAUUAGACAUGACAUGGGUAGUUUCAACUUACCAAGGACAUGACCUUAAAUAAGAAAGUGUGGAGGUCAGGGAUUAGGGUAGAAGGGUAGUAAGCAUCAAUGCAUUGUCUUAUUGUCCGUUCAUAUUAGUAGUCGUAGUAUUGCACAUUUAGUUUCUUGUCCUUUAAUAUAUUUUACUAUCUGUUGAUUUCUUAUACCUUGACUAUCGUAUGGUUUUGUUGAAGUUUUGUUAGUAUCUAUUGUUUGUGUUAAUAACUGAUUUCUUGUACCUUGACUAUCGUAUUAUAUGGUUUUCUUGAAGUCUUGAACUUCCGCCACUUCUUUUUAUGGACUGCUUACACUGUUUUUCCUUGAGCCGAGGGUCUAUGUCGGAAACAACCUCUAUACCUUUAGGGUAGGGAGGGAUAAGGUCUACCUACACUCUAUCCUCUCUAGGCCCCACGUUGUGGGACUACAUUAGGUAUGUUGUUGUUGUACUUUUGACUAUGGUUUACAACUACCAUCUAUUAUACUUCAAGUUGGAGAUACGUUAGGGUCAAGGAUAAUCGAUAGGGGUGGAUCUAAUGUUAUGGUACCAGGUUCAUCUGAACUCGUUCUUUCAAUACAAAGCAUAAAAUCAUGUGUAAAAAUUUACUAAAAUUGCAACAAAUAGUAGAUAUGAACCUGUAACUUUAAAAAUAUAAUGGGAACUACGGAUAACUUCAAAGUAUAAUGAAAGGCAAAAUUAAGAAAUUUCGUACAACAGAGUACUUUUUGACCCUUUUGCCUUAAGAUUUUCAUCAUUAUCAAUCAGUGAAGUCUGCUGCUUAGAGCUCAUUAUUGUUAGUUACAUCUGCAAAUACUUUUACCGAUACUUACUAGUUCAUGAAAUAGAAUCUGGAUGCAGCGGUAGGUGAUACCUCUAUAUUGGCUGAACGCUAUGAGUAUGCAGAAUUUUCACAGCCCUAUAUUGACUCUGGACUUGUCAUGAUAGUGACCGAAAGGCCAAGACUCAACAAGGUCCAAUUUAUUGCUAUAAAGGCCUUCAAGUUGAAGUUGUGGAUUCUGCUAGCAGUGAUGAGCAUGUCCACAGGGGUUGUCAUCUGGUUAAAUGAGUAUGUAAAUGACAACCCGGAUUUCAGUGGUUCUUUCCCUCAGCUUAUUGGAUCCAUGCUUUGGUUCUCUGUCACUGUUCUCUCUUUUUCACAAAGUAAGUUUCAAACUUAGAAAUACAUUAUACUUCUCCUUUCCACCUUCUUUGACACUAUUUCCUCAUUAUUUCACACAAAAAUCAACGUCACAUUUCAAUAUUUCCUUAAAGAGAAUCUUUUAUAGAACAUGAGUGUGAUGACAUGUUUAAAGCCACAAGGUUUAAGAGUUUUUAUUUCUUUUCUUAAACUAUAUGCGGAGUCGAACUAUGUCAAAAAAAAAUGGAACAAAAGGAGUAUAGAAUAAGAAUAAGGAUUAAAAAAUUACUCUUUUACUAUACGAGAUAUCUUAAUUUUACACUUUCCGAUACUCUUAUUGUUAGCAAAUCGUCUAGUAUUUGUCCUUGAACCUUAAUGGAACUUCAUCUGAAGUAUAACAGAUGGUAAUGUACUAAUGUUAAAUCAUAGUCAAAAGUAUUUGAGUAAAUUCUGAACGUUUUCCUGAAAUAUUUUGACACAUGGAUUCCUUCCUAAUCCAUGUGGAAUUUCCUUAAAGUCGAGGGCAAAUCCGAGAGGAUGUGCCAACGGUACAGAUAUAAUGAUCAAAAAUAUAACGAAGGGUAAAAUCAAACAUAUUUUGUAUAAUAGAGAGAUAAGUUUGGACUUUUCCCUUUAGAAUAAAGAUAUAUACAGAACUACUGUUUACAAUUUAAAAGCUUAUAGUUCCAAUUUGGGAUAUCAUUACAGGAGAAUCAAUCAAAAGCAAUCUAUCUCGACUUGUGCUGACUACAUGGUUAUGUGUAGUUGUGGUUGUUACAGCUUGCUUUACUGCAACUCUUUCCUCCAUCAUGACAGUUCCUAGGCUGGAACCUUCUGUACUAAAUGUGGAUUAUCUUCUAAGGACCAAUGCUCCAGUUGGUUGCAAUGGCAAUUCAUUUAUAGUCAAAUAUCUAGUAAAUUUGCAAUUCAAGCCAGAGAACAUCAAGAAGAUCAGUUCAAUCAGUGACUACCCUAAAGCUUUUGAGAAGGGAGAAAUUUCUGCUGCUUUCGUUGUAGCUCCACAUGCCAAAGUUUUCCUUGCCAAGUACUGCAGAGGUUACACCAAAUCAGGACCUGUCUUUAAACUUGGUGGUUUUGGUUUUGUAAGAUCAAGAAUUCAUCUUUUUAACUUUUCAAUCUGCCUAUCUCCAUCUUCACAGAUUAAUUUCACAUAUGCUCACUGAACUUUGCUCAGUAUAACAGUAAAUUUACAACUUUUGUCAUUUUAUGAACUUUACCUACUAUAACAACAAAGUCAUUAAUCAAUUUUCUGUCACGGAGUAACAAAACUUCACCCACUAUAACAUUGAAGUCAUUGAACUUUACAGAAAGUCCCUAGACGGAUAGAUUUUAAAGUUUCAAUGGAUAAUGUUUAGUAAUUAUAAUGUUAUAGUGGGUUGAAUUCAGUUACUAUAAUUUGACAAAGAAAAUUUAGCGUCUUUACAAUUAUAAUAGCUAAGAUUUAGUGAUUUUACUGUUAUAGUUACUUAAUUAUGACAAAUUAUAAUUUAGUUACUUAAUUACAAUGGACAAAGGUGAGUGACCAUAAGCAACAUUAACCAUUUUGUCAGCCUAAAUUUUUAAACUAGUUUCUUUAUGACAAUUUGAUGUUUUAAUCUAUCAGGUUUUUCCAAAGGGUUCUCCUUUAGCAGUUGAUAUCUCCGAAGCUGUUCUUAAACUCUCACAGAGUGGAGAGAUAAAUCAACUAGAAGAACAAAUGCUUAUUUCAACAAAUUGCUCUUCUUCAUCAGCUGAGGAGCAGCUUUUUGGAUUAGGACAAGAGUUGUUCUCUGGUCCAGUACUGAUUUCAGGUAUUAUAUGUGGAAUUGUAUUUUUGAUCUCAAUCGCUCGUUUAGUCAGAAAACACUGGCUAUAUUUAAGCUCUAUAAUUGCAAAUAGUGCAAAUAUAGUUCUUAGAUGGACUUCUCUAGUUAAAAAUUGCAACACUGUGAUUGACCAAAGACCAAAUAUUCAACAGAAUGUUGAAAUUACAGAGGUUGUUUGAUGAACCAGAAACUGGAAAAUCAUGGACAGCAAUUGAUCAGCAGCUACUUUUCUCUUGUCUAAUAAACAAUCUAAUGCUCUUUGUAAAUAUAUUAUUUUCUUCCUUAUACGUAAUUUCUGUAUCAUUCACAUGUACUGUAUAAUCCUAUUUUAGAAAUAAACGCACACACAUAGAGCAAUACAUAUAUAAAUCAGUAAACAAGUCUAACAUUAAGCAGAUUCUGAAAGAGAAGCAAAAUUGAGACCUUACUUUCCAGAAUGAAGAAUCAAACUCGGGUCCUCCUAAUCGACCCAACCCUCUCCAUCUCCAACUUCAUCACCGGACUCCUCCUCACCGGCUGAUAACGUCUCCAACUCCGGCGAAAUCACCGACUGCUUUACCAUUUGCGGAAGAAGAUUAGUAUAAAGAAGUAAGCUGUGGGCUAAUGAAUUAAGGGUGACAAAAGAGUUUCAAAAUAAAGAAAAAGUGACACAAGUUUUAAUUAUUGAGUAUACGUGACAAUUUUAAGAUCGAAAAAGGGUCAUAUUUGCCCUUGUACUCUCAGAAAAGGGUUAUAUUUGCCCUUUGUUAUACUUUUUUGAUAUAUUUGCCCUUGCCAUCCAACUUAAGGUACAUAUUUGCCCUUCAACCGUUAAGUUUCAUAUCUCAAAUUUUAUCAUCCUAUGUGGC
Molecule: long non-coding RNA, 7177 nt
Filed under: Solanum tuberosum (potato)
Lineage: Eukaryota; Viridiplantae; Streptophyta; Magnoliopsida; Solanales; Solanaceae
Description: long non-coding RNA (STUB_LNC005223)
Source: RNAcentral